RNAcentral lists this unclassified non-coding RNA (527 nucleotides) under Fusarium solani. RNAcentral's name for it is "sequence contains ITS1, 5.8S rRNA gene, ITS2". The stretch from base 162 to 315 matches the Rfam family "5.8S ribosomal RNA". The record is from RNAcentral. Lineage: Eukaryota; Fungi; Ascomycota; Sordariomycetes; Hypocreales; Nectriaceae.
GGGAUCAUUACCGAGUUAUACAACUCAUCAACCCUGUGAACAUACCUAUAACGUUGCCUCGGCGGGAACAGACGGCCCCGUAACACGGGCCGCCCCCGCCAGAGGACCCCCUAACUCUGUUUCUAUAAUGUUUCUUCUGAGUAAACAAGCAAAUAAAUUAAAACUUUCAACAACGGAUCUCUUGGCUCUGGCAUCGAUGAAGAACGCAGCGAAAUGCGAUAAGUAAUGUGAAUUGCAGAAUUCAGUGAAUCAUCGAAUCUUUGAACGCACAUUGCGCCCGCCAGUAUUCUGGCGGGCAUGCCUGUUCGAGCGUCAUUACAACCCUCAGGCCCCCGGGCCUGGCGUUGGGGAUCGGCGGAAGCCCCCUGCGGGCACAACGCCGUCCCCCAAAUACAGUGGCGGUCCCGCCGCAGCUUCCAUUGCGUAGUAGCUAACACCUCGCAACUGGAGAGCGGCGCGGCCACGCCGUAAAACACCCAACUUCUGAAUGUUGACCUCGAAUCAGGUAGGAAUACCCGCUGAACUUA